This 390-nucleotide ribosomal RNA is filed under the name uncultured bacterium. RNAcentral describes it as "bacterial SSU rRNA". It matches the Rfam family "Bacterial small subunit ribosomal RNA", at positions 28 to 418 of the family's 1533-position model. The record is from RNAcentral.
GACGAACGCUGGCGGCGUGCUUAACACAUGCAAGUCGAGCGGUAAGGCCCUUUCGGGGGUACACGAGCGGCGAACGGGUGAGUAACACGUGGGUGACCUGCCCUCAGCUCUGGGAUAAGCCUGGGAAACCGGGUCUAAUACUGGAUAUGACUCCAUGACGCAUGUUGUGGGGUGGAAAGCCUUGUGCGGCUGAGGAUGGGCCCGCGGCCUAUCAGCUUGUUGGUGGGGUGAUGGCCUACCAAGGCGACGACGGGUAGCCGGCCUGAGAGGGCGACCGGCCACACUGGGACUGAGACACGGCCCCAGACUCCUACGGGGGGCAGCAGUGGGGAAUCUUGCGCAAUGGGCGAAAGCCUGACGCAGCGACGCCGCGUGAGGGAUGACGGCCUG